This 1634-nucleotide ribosomal RNA is filed under the name human gut metagenome. RNAcentral's name for it is "bacterial LSU rRNA". It matches the Rfam family "Bacterial large subunit ribosomal RNA", at positions 990 to 2637 of the family's 2925-position model. The record is from RNAcentral.
UACGAAUGAUAAGAUCCGUGGUCAAAAGGGAAACAGCCCAGAUCGUCAGCUAAGGUCCCAAAGUGUAAGUUAAGUGGGAAAGGAUGUGAGAUUUCUAAGACAACUAGGAUGUUGGCUUAGAAGCAGCCAUUCAUUAAAAGAGUGCGUAAUAGCUCACUAGUCGAGAGAUCUUGCGCCGAAAAUGUAACGGGGCUAAACUUACCACCGAAGCUACGGGCUUGAACUUAGUUCAAGCGGUAGGAGAGCGUCGUAACCGGGCUGAAGUCGUACCGUAAGGAGCGGUGGACUGGUUACGAGUGAGAAUGUUGGCAUCAGUAGCGAGAUGUGGGUGAGAAUCCCACAGGCCGAAAACCUAAGGUUUCCUCAGGAAGGUUCGUCCGCUGAGGGUUAGUCGGGACCUAAGCCGAGGCCGAAAGGCGUAGGUGAUGGACAACUGGUUGAUAUUCCAGUACCACUACCAUCGUUAUUAUCGAUGGCGUGACGCAGGAGGAUAGUGUGUGCUAGCUAUUGGAUGCUAGUCUAAGCGUUUAGGCAGUGAGAGUAGGCAAAUCCGCUCUCAUAAUGCUGAGGCGUGAUGGGGAAGGUUCCACGGAACCGAAGUACAUGAUUCCACGCUGCCAAGAAAAGCGUCUAGAGAGAGAAGUAGUGCCCGUACCGCAAACCGACACAGGUAGGUGAGGAGAGAAUCCUAAGGCCGGCGGAAGAAUUACAGUUAAGGAACUCGGCAAAUUGACCCCGUAAGUUCGCGAGAAGGGGUGCCUACGAGAGUAGGCCGCAGAGAAUAGGCCCAAGCAACUGUUUAGCAAAAACACAGGUCUCUGCUAAAGCGUAAGCUGAUGUAUAGGGGCUGACGCCUGCCCGGUGCUGGAAGGUUAAGGGGAACACUUAGCGCAAGCGAAGGUGUGAACUUAAGCCCCAGUAAACGGCGGCCGUAACUAUAACGGUCCUAAGGUAGCGAAAUUCCUUGUCAGGUAAGUUCUGACCCGCACGAAUGGCGUAAUGACUUGGGCACUGUCUCAACUGCAAAUCCGGCGAAGUUGUAGUGCGAGUGAAGAUGCUCGCUACCCGCGAUUGGACGGAAAGACCCCGUAGAGCUUUACUGCAGCUUAGCAUUGAAUUCCGGUAUUGUCUGUACAGGAUAGGUGGGAGACUGGGAAACUAGGGCGUCAGCCUUAGUGGAGUCAACCUUGGGAUACCACCCUGACAGUACUGGGGUUCUAACAGGACGCCAUGAAACUGGUGACUGGACAUUGUUAGGUGGGCAGUUUGACUGGGGCGGUCGCCUCCUAAAAAGUAACGGAGGCGCCCAAAGGUUCCCUCAGAACGGUCGGAAAUCGUUCGUAGAGUGCAAAGGCAAAAGGGAGCCUGACUGCGAGACCUACAAGUCGAGCAGGGACGAAAGUCGGGCUUAGUGAUCCGGUGGUACCUCGUGGGAGGGCCAUCGCUCAACGGAUAAAAGCUACCUCGGGGAUAACAGGCUGAUCUCCCCCAAGAGUCCACAUCGACGGGGAGGUUUGGCACCUCGAUGUCGGCUCGUCGCAUCCUGGGGCUGUAGUAGGUCCCAAGGGUUGGGCUGUUCGCCCAUUAAAGCGGCACGCGAGCUGGGUUCAGAACGUCGUGAGACAGUUCGGUCC